This 119-nucleotide ribosomal RNA is filed under the name Pteropus alecto (black flying fox). Lineage: Eukaryota; Metazoa; Chordata; Mammalia; Chiroptera; Pteropodidae. The record is from RNAcentral.
GUCUACGGCCACGCCACCCUGAACACACCCAAUCCCGUCCGAUCUCGGAAGCUCAGCAGGGUCGGGCCUGGUUAGUACUCGGAUGGGAGACCACCUAGGAAGACCAGGUGCUGUAGGCG